Molecule: small nuclear RNA, 102 nt
Filed under: Chinchilla lanigera (long-tailed chinchilla)
Lineage: Eukaryota; Metazoa; Chordata; Mammalia; Rodentia; Chinchillidae
Source: RNAcentral
AUACUUUGGGCUGGCUUCAGCAGUAUAUAUACUAAAAUUGGAAUGAUGCAGAGCACAUUAGUACAGCCCCUGCACAAGGAUGACAUGUAAAUCCAUAUUUUU